RNAcentral lists this ribosomal RNA (885 nucleotides) under Triticum aestivum (bread wheat). RNAcentral describes it as "partial small subunit ribosomal RNA". The record is from RNAcentral. Lineage: Eukaryota; Viridiplantae; Streptophyta; Magnoliopsida; Poales; Poaceae.
AUGGCGAACAAGAAAGAUAGGAGGUUCAGAGAUGGCAUGGCCAUGGUGCGCAAGAGGUCGCCGCCGGGGCCAACAACGCUGCACGAGGUCCCCGACAAGCUCCUCGAGCUCAUCCUCCUUCACUUGAGCUCGCCGGUCUGGCUCAUCCACGCCGCCGCCACAUGCAAGCGGUGGCGCCGCAUCAUCGUUGACAGAAGGUUCCUCUGUAACAUUUCCAACCGCGACCCCUCAUCCGUUGUCGCAGGCCACUACCAUAACCACGCGUCCCCCGUCGACGGCCGUCGCCACGUCUUUGUUCCCUCUUCGCCGGCGCUCGCUGUCGGUAGCCACCACUUCUCCCUCGACUUCCUCCCUGCGGGUGGCGGCACCUCAUGGGAGAUCAUCGACAGCUGCCACAGCCUCCUCCUCCUCGCCAAGAAGAAGACCGGGUGGAGACGCCACGAAAUUGUCCAGAGUUUUAUAUGUUGUUUUCAUUGCAAAAUGAUGGGUCUCCUUGCUUGCCGGACCUCCUCGUCUGCGAGCCGGCACCGACCCAUGGACGAGCCUCGAAUCAGCCAAGAUGGCUCCACAGAGCCCCUGCACUUCCUUGGUCGUGCCACCAGCUCUCUGUUCUGGGCCCUGCAGGACGACGUCUCAUCCCUGCUCGCCUACAAUUUCCAUUGGAGAAGGGAGUUUGAGGUCCUCCCGUUGCCGGACCACAUCCAAGGGCUGCCUUGCCGAGCCUUCGGCAACGACGACGGCGAGGCGUGCCUUGUUUGUUUUCAGGGCAGCAGCCUUCACGUCUUCGCGUAUAACGAUGGCGACUGGGACCUUGAGGAGAGCCUCGAAUUAGUGGAGGCCACUCGUGGGCUGGAAGGGCACAAAGAUGAGUAUUUCCGGGCGUCU